UUUUUCUUUUUUUUUUUUUUUUGAGAAAACACAUUAAAACAAACUGAGUAUAUAUAUUCAGUUCAAAAAAAAUCAUAUGAUUUAAAAAGUAAAAAAAAAGAGAGUCAGACUAGAUUCACUGCUUGCAGCAGGCUACUUUCAACCACACACCUGGAAUGAUUUUCCUUUUCUGACGAAAAGUUUGAAGCCUAAGCUGUCAGGCAACACCGAAGACAAGAACCCCUUAAACAGGCUCUGAACCAAAAUCAGAUUUUCCAAGACUCUUCCAUGGCUGGGAGUUUUUGUCGGCUCUGAGCCGCUUAGAUUGCUAAUUCGAAUAUAAUUCACAUUGUCAAAAUGUUCUAGAGGGCUCCUGGAACACUGCUUUUCAGCAGUUCAGGUUUGCCAACGCAAUGGAUAAAGGACAACCCACAUCCUACUAACACAUCAGAUUUGCCCAUUCUACCCUCAUAAAUAGUUUUCUUCAUGUUUUCUGUGCUUGUUUACUGUAAUGAAUAAAACAUUACAAUUGCUAUUUGGAAUAGAAAGCACCGUGGUUCUUGAAAAUGGUAAAGGUAUGCUGGCUGUAGUUUAGGGCACUAAGGCUGUUAUUUGUAGAAUAAAACUCAUUAUCACUACUCAAAUAUUGAACAAGAAUAGUUUGUAUUCAAAGAUAAAGGUGCCACAGGGGGCUACUGAUAUAGGAAAUAUGGCUGGAGAGAUAUGGGAUGCAUAUUAAAAUUUAUAUACUGAAAAUAAAAAAUGUAUUUAUCAGGUAUAUUUAAUAUUCCAGGAGCAUCAACUACAAUUGUUCAAGUUCUAUUUGCUGACAUUUCAAUUAUAACCUAUUUUCAGCGCCUUCGGUUCUGCAGGCCCCAAAGUCACAUACUUCAUGAGGCCUCAGUCGGCAAGUGAUUUUUUGGGUAGUGUGCAGCACACCGAAACUUUCAGGGAAAAGACCAAAAGGCAAAUCUGAGUAUUUUUUCCACCCAGGACCACCAAAUUUUGAAAUGACUAUAGGAGUGAAGCUGACAGGUUAGAGGUUUGCCAUGGUUAGAUAAAUAAGUGUGCAGGAGAUAAGUCCAAUAAUAAGACUGGAAAUCAAACUCAAGGGUUUCCACUCCAGAGCCUCUGCUCUCAACUGGUAUAGUUUAUUGCCUAUUCAUUAUGAUAAGUGGAGAGAAAUACUUUUGUUUUUUGGUCUUUUAGGGCUGCACCUGCUGCAUAUGGAGGUUCCCAGGCUAGGGGUCCAAUCAGAGCCAUAGCUGCCGGCCUACACCACAGCCACAGCCACAGCCACAGCCACAAUGGAUCUGAGCCGCAUCUGUGAACCACACCACAGCUCACAGCAAUGCCAGAUCCUUAACCCACUGAGCAAGGCCAGGGAUUGAAACCGCAUCUCAUGGAUGCUAGUCAGGUUUGUUAACCACUGAGCCAUGACAGGAACUCCAGAAAUACUUUUAUAUGCAAUAAUUUAGAGGAUUGGUAUAGUAUAUAAUAUACAUAUAUUAUCAUUUUAUACACCUAUAAUUUUAAAACGAGGCUAGAAAAUGUUUAUCGUAUAAUCUAAUCCGGGUAUCACAAACAGACCCCCAUCUAACUUACUGCUACUGUAACCCUCAAUGCAAUGACAAUUUGUAUGUGUAAUUCUUUGUGCAGUUUCUGAAGUCCCCAACAGAUUUAUGUUCAGUGGGUACAGAGGCUUUCUAAGCUUACUGAAGUUAUUGAGCUUCUGUAGGACCCUGUUUUCUCAAAUGUCAAACAGAAAUAACAGCCAUGCCUAUGUCACGUAAUAGCUAUAACAACUACUUCAAUGAAAUAGCGCAAGUUAAGCACUUAGCAUGGUGUCCAGCACAGGAAGUACUCAGUAAAUAUUAGGUAUUAUCACUGUUGUGGUUAAUAAUCUCAUCCACCUUUGUAUCUUUGCAACUUAUACAGGGUUGGACCCAUGAGAGGUGCUCAGUAAAAAAUAAUUAAAUUAAUGAGUACUUUUUUCAAGCCCCCCUACAUACAUACAUACACACCCUUCCUCUUCACAGGCAUUGCCAUCUCUCAAACGUGAUUUUGUUUCCUCUACUUGAAACACAACUGCCCACUCAAACUUUCAUCUGGCUAACUCCUACUGUUCACCUAAAUUUUGGUUCCCAUUCUUUUCUUCUGGGAAGUGUUUUCUUAAAAAACUGUGAGCUUACUAAGUCCUGUUUACACUUUUUCAUGGGCUUGCUCCCUGUCCCUAGCAAGCCCAACGAAAGCACUUAACCCCAAUCUUGAUGUUUCUGCCUUGCCUUAAUAUCCCGUUAGACUGCAAAGGCAGACACUACCUUUUUACCACUGUAAAGGUAUAGAACAUAAGAGAUGUUCAAUAAGCCUUUGUUAAAUAAGGGAACACAUACGUAUUUCUACCCGACUAACCUUUCCAUGAUUCUCACCCUCCUCACCAAACAUCAUACUAGACUUAUUAGGAUGUGGUUCCAUUUCAGAAAUGAACAAAACGAACAAGGACAGAUAAGCCAUCUUUUUAAAUGGACCAAAAAACCUCAGACAAGUUACUCCCCAAAGAUGGCCAAGUGGCCAUUAACAUAUGAAAUGUAUGCACCCUCCAUUAAUCAUUAGGAAAAUGUAAAUUAAAGCUACCACUAAGACAUCAAUACACAGCACAUCAAAACAGCAAAAAGAGUGAGAAGAUACAAAUAAUUGUGAGAUAUGGGGUAUCUGGAACUUUCAUACACUGUUGAUAAGUGUCUAAAUUGGUAUAAUCAGUUAAGAAAACUAUUUGGCAGUAUCUAUUAAAAUGAAAAUACAUUCCUAAAGACUCAGCAAUUCCACUUCCAGUAAUUUGCUAUGCAGAAAUAUGUACAUACACGUGCCAAAAGGCACUCACAAGAAGAUUCAAAGAAGUGUAUUCCUAACAGAUGAAAACUGGCAACACCCGAAAUGUCCAUCAGUGGUAAGAUGGAUGAAUAAAUCAGUAGAAGCUUCCUGGUAAAUUUCUAUAGUGGAAUAUUAUGUAGCAAUGAAAAAAGAACAAUAGGGAUGAAUUUCAAAACAUAAUGUUGAGACAAAUACUGUGUGAUGUCACUCACUUGUGGAAUCUAAAAAACAUAACAAACUGGUAAAGAUUAAAAAAGACAGACUCAGAAAAGAAAACAAAUUAGUCGGGAGGAGGAAAGGAAGAAGAGUAAGUAGGGGAGUAAGAGGUACAAACUGUUAGGUAUAAAAUAAGCUACAAGGAAAUAUUGCACAACACCAGGAAGACAGCCAGUAUUUUACAAUAACUGCCAAUGGAAUAUGAUCUUUAAAAAUUGCGGGAGUUCCCAUCGUGGCUAAGUGGUUAACGAACCCGACUAGCAUCCAUGAGGAUGCGGGCUCGAUCCCUGGCCUCGCUCAUUGGGUUAAGAAUCUAGCAUUGCCGUGAGCUGUGGUGUAGGUUGAAGACAUGGCUCAGAUCCUGCGUUGCUAUGGCUCUGGCACAGGCUGGCAGCAACAGAUCUGAUUGGACCCCUAGCCUGGGAACCUACGUAUGCUGUGGAUGUGGCCCUAAAAAUAAAUAAAUAAAUAAAAGACAAAAAAUAAAAAAUAAAAAUAAAAAUUGUGGAUCACUAUAUUAUACACCUGUAACUUAUACAAUAUCGUACAUCAACUAUACUUCAAUUUAAAAAAUAUUCUGGAGUUCCUGUCGUGGCACAGUUUCCAACCCAACUAAUAGCCAUGAGUUUGCAGGUUUGAUCCCUGGCCCUGCUCAGUGGGUUAUGGAUCUGGCACUGCCAUGAGCUGCGCUGUAAGUCGCAGGCACUGUGUUGUUGUGGCUGUCACAGGCUGGCCGCUACAGCUCUGAUUCAAUCCCCCGAGCCUGGGAACUUCCAUAUGCCGCAGAUGUGGCCCUAAAAAGUAUGUCUGAAAAGAGACUCCAAGAUCCAAGAGUUUAUCACCACGUGUGCAAUGAAACCCCUUCCAACUGCCAGCCUUUGAAAUACCAAGUUGCCUAUGGCUUAUAACUUUCAAAUCCAUAUUGCUGUCCAUUACAGCAAUGCUCCUAAAAAUUCAUAAGAGAAUUCAAAAAAUUUCCAAUAGAUACACUCUCAUAUACUGCGUUAUAAUGAAGGAUCACAUUCUCAUCAGGUAGGCAUUAUAGAGGAAAUGAGCUUUGUAAAAUUAAACACCUCUAACAAGCACAUACUCAAUCAUAUUUCAGGGAAAACACUUCCUGAUUUCCAGCUGGACACCCUAACAUAUACUCACCAAAAUAGUAAACUUUCCAGAGUUCCCGCUAUGGCAUGGUAGGGUAAGAAUCUGACUAGAAGAGCUCAGGGUGCCAUGGAGACAGGGGUGUAAUCCCCUGCCUGGUGCUGUGGGUUAAAGGAUCUGAUGUGACUGUACCUGCGGAAUAGGUUUCAGCUGUGGCCUGGAUUCAGUCCCUGAGCCAGGAACUUCCAUAUGCCACAAGUGCGGCUAUAAAGAAAUUUUUAAAAACUAAAAAUAAAAUAAUACACUUUCCAUGACUUAGUACUUGGGUUAACCAUCCAAUGGUUUAUAUAUUAAUUGUGCUCACUAGCAACCGUACAGCUGUCUUGUUUCCAAUAACCAAAGAAAUCAAAGAGUAUGUGGGUCAUUUUGUCAUGCCUCGAAACUUCUUUGUGAUAUACUAAGAGCCCCAUGAUGGUAGCAGCAGUUUGACUCCUGCUAAGACAGAGCAAGAACUCAUGAUGGAUGCAUACAGUGCAAAAACUUUUUGAUCAUAAUGACUGUCCCAUAGAUAAAAACUAGUUUGGUCCCCUGAUAGAUAUCAUCUUUUUCGGCCUUCGGUAUCCUAGAAAAUAACUGGUAAUGCAAACAAGUUAGUAUUGAUCAUGUAAACACUAUUUUAAAGGAGAUGGGAAAAAUCAUUUAUGUUAGCC
Molecule: long non-coding RNA, 4874 nt
Filed under: Sus scrofa (pig)
Lineage: Eukaryota; Metazoa; Chordata; Mammalia; Artiodactyla; Suidae
Description: lncRNA (ENSSSCG00015056037.1)
Source: RNAcentral